Anas platyrhynchos (mallard) is the source of this 3089-nucleotide non-coding RNA. The record is from RefSeq and is a predicted model, not a curated record. NCBI's taxonomy places the organism in Eukaryota, Metazoa, Chordata, Aves, Anseriformes, Anatidae.
GAGCAAACCCAGCAUUGCCCAUACCUCACCCCCAUGGAGGCACUGAUGCUCUCCAUCAGCCAGCACAGCUUUGAAGCUUGUUUUUGGAGAAGAAGCUGCUCUCUGGGCUCUUCUGGCUGCUUCUUCCCCUGCUUCUCCUGGGCUGGUGAGAGCCGUGAAGAAGGGAGGUGAGCACAGAGGAUGCUUUGAACACGCUGCAGAGAAGCUGAGUGCCCCACAGCUCCGGGGAGAAAGAUGUCUCCUCACCCCAGGCAAAGCCCUGGAAUCGUGAGAACUUCCAAUGACUUGGCAAAUCGCUCUGAAUCACUGACGUUUGGCGGCCACCUCCACCCAUGCCUGUCCCUUGCCUGCUCCCUCGCCGGGUGUCAGUUCUCGAGCCUACGUGCUGAGAAGAGAAGUUAAAAAGGCAUAAUACCCUUCAAUCCAUCCGGUAUUGCUGACACUGAUGCAAGUGCCAUGGUGUUACGGAACGGGGAAGGCUGGGAGUGGCACGAAAUCAGCCCAGGUUCACCGACAACAGCGCUGCCGGCGUGUGUCAGUUCAGCUCUGCAGAAGAAGCUGCAAUGUGAAGUUUUGGGGGGUGUUUUGGGGUUAAAAGCUCAAGCUGGAGCGGGGCUGCCUGCUGCGGAGCUGCAUCCAGGAGAAAGCUUUUCUCAUGGAAUUCAUGCGGCCGGGGCUCUGUAAUGGAAAAUGCGCCACACCUUAAAUGCUAUCAUAUUACUCAUGAGUGCAAUGCUGGUAAUUAACUGAGUUAAAAACCAGAUUUAUUGCGUGUCAAUUAUCACCUAACAAGUUGGCAUAUCUGAGAGAUGCAUCAGCGGCCGGAUGCGCUGGUUUCCCACCUGAGGUAAGGGAGGUCACCUGCCUCGCCACCAGGGCAGCUUUAAUGGAUCUUGCCGUAUUUAAACACAAUCUUACUCACGCUCAGGUACAGGAACGUGUUUAACACCAACGGGCUGCACGGUUACAGAGUGAAGUCCUCCAGUGUAACGAGAUGCAAAACACCUAGUGGUUUCAUCACCAAUUUUGUGUCUGUGCGGAGCCUCCUCGCAUCUCCUGAUUGCUUCUGACAUCAGAAAUGUUCUCAGGCUUCGCCCCUCCACCCCGAUCCAGAAUGACACUGGGUAAAUGCUGUGCUGAAUUCGAGCUCCUCUUGCUAACCUGCAGCAAAAGCUGUGGGAACCGAUGGGAUCUGCUGAAUCAGCUCCUUAAAAAGCAAAUCUGAAGGCACUGUAUGCAUGCAAUGCAGCCAGGUGACUCAAUUACAACACCUGGGCUUAGAUUUGCAAACCAGCUAGAGCCUUGAGUUUCAGUUCAAACCUUAUCCUUAAUUUUAGUCUCUGCCCUUAAUACAUCACCUAGAAUAGGGGAUUUGUGUCCUUAUUUUUGGAGGCUGUUGCAGAGCUGAGGUGCCUGCAUGCUGCUGGAACACCACACCUUGUGUACGUCCAAAUGAUGAUGGAAUCCCAGAAAGCGUGAACCUGGUGUGUCUGCAGAUUGCAUUAUUUAAAAAGUAAUGAAAGAGAAAUACUUGGAAUCUUGGAAAACAUGUAACUUUAGGGCUUUCUUGGUACAUACUAGGAAAAUUCUGAAGUUCAAGCUUUCUAGCUUCUAGCAUGCAGAAAGCUAUCAGGGAGCGUGUGCUUGGUUUUACACGUGGUUACACACUUGAUGCAUAUUUUUGAGUCUCCUCCCUACCUUUUGCCAACUGCUUUUUGGCUGCAGCCUCACCUUUCUGACCAGCUCUGCUUGCCUGCAGGGUAACCUCCUGCUUGCACAGGCCUGGCGAGGAGAGGUGCCAGAGGAGCUGGGACAGGUCAGUGCUGGAGCCAGCCCAGCCUCGGCUCUGGUCUCUUAAGCUGCUUUUUUAUUUCCCAACAUCAUGCUGAGCUUCCCUGCUGCCAGUCCCAGGCUGAAGUGCCAGCUGGGAGGGGAAAUUCCUUUGCUUGCAAAGAAGUGAUUUUCUUUUUCUGGUAUAAUUCUAAAAGCAAAAUCAUACUUUAGUAAUACUUUUUUUUUUUUUUUUUUUUAUUCUGCUUGGAAACACCUGAAAGCUGCUGAAUCGCAUAGAUGCUCACUUUUAUUGUGUUAUCUCUGAAGAGCGCCGACCUCUUUGCCCUGUGCUGUACAAGCAUGUGGAGCUGUCCUUCGGAAAGCUUAGAUCAGGAGUAACUUGUGUUCGCAGGGCAGAAACCAGUGCUUUUUGCAGAAAAAGGGAAAGACCCGGCACAGCUGUGGGUGUUAACAGCUGCCAGCUGCAAGCCCAAAGCUUCCUCAUCUCCUGGCUGUCUUUGGACAUAGGCUAUGCAGGGAAAUUGCUGUCCCUGUGGGAGGCUUCAGAGGGGACCCUGUGCCUCAUGCACUAAUUUUCCUGAUUUUUAUAGCCUAAUUAGGUUUUUGUAGCCUAAUUAAAUCCUGAUUCUUGGGCCACCAGACUCUGCUGAUCGAUGUGGUUUCCCUUUGGCACCUUCCAUCCCAGGUAGCUCCUCUUCUGCUCCCCAGGUGCUUGAUCAGCCGUGUGGCUGCUUUGCACUGCUCCUCUCUCUUUUUUUUUUUGUCAGACAAUAAAUCACAUUUUGCUUUCUUCAGACAAGUCGGGGAGAGCCCAACAAGACUGAUGACAGAGAAGGAUCGGUAAUAUUUCCCUGUACAGAAAAUAGUUUUCUGUGCAGUGAAGCUGCUUUCUAGCAGGGCCAUGUAGGACAGCACAUCAGAGUUUGUUCUCAUCCCACCACAACCUGCCUGGGAGAUGCAAGGCUGCAGUGCAGGGAGGAGAUCACACCGCUGUUUGGGUGCUGGGGAUGCUGCUGAUCCUGCACGAUGAUGCCAUAACUGCAGGAAUUCUCCCCAAACCCUACCAUCUCCCUGUUACCCAUGCCAAAAACUUUGUGCACGGAGAAAUCCCUACAGAAAGUGCUGUUAGGGAUGGGAUGGCAAGGGGUGGUUUGGUGGUGGCACACUGUAUACAGGGGCAUAAAGGCUUGGCAAUCAUUUAAAAUGAUGAAAAAAGUGGAAAAUACCGCUAUAUUAUUUUUUCAUGCCCCUGCUGUGCUUGCACUCAGUCUGCGGUCACUGCAAGCAGCUGGCAA